This is a non-coding RNA of Carassius gibelio (silver crucian carp), 1091 nucleotides long. Lineage: Eukaryota; Metazoa; Chordata; Actinopteri; Cypriniformes; Cyprinidae. The record is from the annotation of a RefSeq genome assembly.
CAUGCUUCAGUGCUCUGAGAGAGUUUAUAGAGCUGUGAGUUUAACACUUCAUGACUGAGAGCAGAACAGAACACAAUCUUCAUCAUCACACAAGACACAACAACAACAAUGAACAACAUCAUCAUCCUCAUCUGGACUCUCACACUGUUUGCUCAAGAGAGUAGAGGACAGAUCACUGUAACUCAGAGUCCAUCAAUAACAGCAGCUCAACCAGGACAAGAAGUCAGAAUCAACUGUAAAACCAGCAGUAAUGUGUAUAAUGGUAAUCGUUUAGCCUGGUAUUUACAGAAACCUGGAGAAGCUCCUAAACUCCUCAUAUAUCUUGCAUCAACCCGUUUCACUGGAACUCCAUCUAGAUUCAGUGGCAGUGGAUCUAACAGUGAUUUCACUCUGACCAUCAGUGGAGUCCAGACUGAAGAUACAGGAGAUUAUUACUGUCAGAGUUUACACUCUAUUAGUGGUAGCUUGGUGUUCACACAGUGAUAAAGAGUCGUACAAAAACCUCCGUCAGUCAGAGUCACAGUGACUGCACUGAUACAGCUGAGAGAUACUGCAGCUGCUGAUGGAUGUGAUGAAUCUCAGUCACUCUUGUCUGUAGAUCAUUAAAUUUCAAUGCAGAAAACUAACUAUCUAUUAGCAGAAACCAAACAUUUACAUUCAUAAGUUUAAUGAAGGACACUUUUCCAUCAUUAAAGUUUAUGAAAUAGCCUCAAAGUCCAGAUUGAGUCUUUCCUUCACUACACAACUCUCAGACUACAUGAAUCACUGCUGCUCACAUCACACAAGACUUGUGCUCAUCUGUCAUCUCUGUGUUGCAGUGAUGCAGCUUCUAAAGUCUAGUCCAGUAUUUCACUAACAUGUGAUUUUGGGAGGCUGAGGUGGAGAGAGAGGAAGUUUUUUCAUGAUCAGGAGCUGGAUGGAGUUUGUAGAUCAUGAACAGCGAGAACAUCACAGUCACUGCUAGAGACACCACCGGGCUUUUUGACUUUUCAGACUUUUUGUGACAUUUACUUCAAGCUGUAUUUCUGAACAUUGCACAGUUCUGCAAAACACUGAUAGGAAAUUAUGCAAAUAAUAAACUAUAACAAAUA